RNAcentral lists this ribosomal RNA (330 nucleotides) under uncultured eukaryote. Its description in RNAcentral is "partial 18S ribosomal RNA". It matches the Rfam family "Eukaryotic small subunit ribosomal RNA", at positions 1470 to 1796 of the family's 1831-position model. The record is from RNAcentral.
CCCUUAGAUGUUCGGGGCUGCACGCGCGCUACACUGUAGAAAUCAGCGUGCUUCAAAACCUUUUCCGAAAGGAAUGGGUAACCCCAUGAAACUUCUACGUGAUUGGGAUAGAGAUUUGCAAUUAUCUCUCUUGAACGAGGAAUUCCCAGUAAGUGCGGGUCAUCAGCUCGCGUUGAUUACGUCCCUGCCCUUUGUACACACCGCCCGUCGCUACUACCGAUUGGGAAAAUUUCAGAAUGCUUAGGACUGGAACUUGUUCGGCCUCACGGCCUUACUUGUUCUGGAAAUAAGUAUAAUGAUAUUUUCCUAGAGGAAGUAAAAGUCGUAACA